RNAcentral lists this ribosomal RNA (712 nucleotides) under Kocuria rhizophila. Its description in RNAcentral is "bacterial SSU rRNA". It matches the Rfam family "Bacterial small subunit ribosomal RNA", at positions 781 to 1486 of the family's 1533-position model. The record is from RNAcentral. Lineage: Bacteria; Bacillati; Actinomycetota; Actinomycetes; Micrococcales; Micrococcaceae.
GAUACCCUGGUAGUCCAUGCCGUAAACGUUGGGCACUAGGUGUGGGGAACAUUCCACGUUUUCCGCGCCGUAGCUAACGCAUUAAGUGCCCCGCCUGGGGAGUACGGCCGCAAGGCUAAAACUCAAAGGAAUUGACGGGGGCCCGCACAAGCGGCGGAGCAUGCGGAUUAAUUCGAUGCAACGCGAAGAACCUUACCAAGGCUUGACAUACACCGGACCGGGCCAGAGAUGGUCUUUCCCCCUUGUGGGGCUGGUGUACAGGUGGUGCAUGGUUGUCGUCAGCUCGUGUCGUGAGAUGUUGGGUUAAGUCCCGCAACGAGCGCAACCCUCGUUCUAUGUUGCCAGCACGUGAUGGUGGGGACUCAUAGGAGACUGCCGGGGUCAACUCGGAGGAAGGUGGGGAUGACGUCAAAUCAUCAUGCCCCUUAUGUCUUGGGCUUCACGCAUGCUACAAUGGCCAGUACAAUGGGUUGCGAUGCCGCGAGGUGGAGCUAAUCCCAAAAAGCUGGUCUCAGUUCGGAUCGUGGUCUGCAACUCGACCACGUGAAGUCGGAGUCGCUAGUAAUCGCAGAUCAGCAACGCUGCGGUGAAUACGUUCCCGGGCCUUGUACACACCGCCCGUCAAGUCACGAAAGUUGGUAACACCCGAAGCCGGUGGCCUAACCCUUGUGGGGGGAGCCGUCGAAGGUGGGACUGGCGAUUGGGACUAAGU